Molecule: ribosomal RNA, 2176 nt
Filed under: termite gut metagenome
Description: bacterial LSU rRNA
Rfam family: Bacterial large subunit ribosomal RNA
Source: RNAcentral
ACAAGCUACUAAGGGCAGUCGGUGGAUGCCUUGGCAUCAAGAGCCGAAGAAGGACGUAGUAACCUGCGAUAAGCCCCGGGGAGUUGGUAAACAAGCUUCGAUCCGGGGAUCUCCGAAUAGGGAAACCUCGAAAGAAACCGGAGUAAUUUCCGGCGACCUCUACCUGAACACAUAGGGUAGUUGGAGGGAACGUGGGGAAGUGAAACAUCUCAGUACCCAUAGGAAAAGAAAACAACCGUGAUUCCGUAAGUAGUGGCGAGCGAACGCGGAUCUAGGCCAAACUCAACAUAUGCGAUAGCUGACAGGCGUUGUAUGUUGGGGGUAGUGGGGCCAUUCAGGACACGCUGUCAAGUGUCCAGAGAGUAAAAAAAGAUUAGGGAAGUAGAAUGAGUCUGGAAAGCUCAGGCACAGAAGGUAAUACCCCUGUACACGUAAGCUAAUCUCUCUCGAGUGUCACCCCAAGUAAUGCGGAACCCCUGAAAUUCGGGACCACCCGUUAAGCCUAAAUACUCCUUGAUGACCGAUAGCGGACAAGUACCGUGAGGGAAAGGUGAAAAGUACCCCGGGAGGGGAGUGAAAUAGUACCUGAAACCGAUUGCCUACAAUCCGUCGGAGCUUUGAUCUUCGGAUCGGGGUGACGGCGUGCCUUUUGAAGAAUGAGCCUGCGAGUUAGUGGUACGUGGCGAGGUUAACCCGUGUGGGGAAGCCGUAGCGAAAGCAAGUCCGAAUAGGGCGAUUUAGUCGCGUGCUCUAGACCCGAAGCGAAGUGAUCUAUCCAUGGCCAGGGUGAAGCGACGGUAAGACGUCGUGGAGGCCCGAACCCACCUGGGUUGAAAACCGGGGGGAUGAGCUGUGGAUAGGGGUGAAAGGCCAAUCAAACUUCGUGAUAGCUGGUUCUCCCCGAAAUGCAUUUAGGUGCAGCGUCGCGCGUUUCUUGCCGGAGGUAGAGCACUGGAUGGUCUAGGGGGCCCACAAGCUUACCGAAAUCAGCCAAACUCCGAAUGCCGGUAAGUGAGAGCGCGGCAGUGAGACGGCGGGGGAUAAGCUUCGUCGUCGAAAGGGAAACAGCCCAGAACACCAGCUAAGGCCCCCAAGCGAUUGCUAAGUGGAAAAGGAUGUGGAGUUGCUCAGACAACCAGGAGGUUGGCUUGGAAGCAGCCACCCUUGAAAGAGUGCGUAAUAGCUCACUGGUCAAGUGAUUCUGCGCCGACAAUAUAGCGGGGCUCAAGCAAUCCGCCGAAGCUGUGUCAUUCGCGUAAUAACCAGGCCUUCGUGGUCCAGGUGCGUGGAUGGGUAGGGGAGCGUCGUGUGCGCUGCGAAGCGGCGGGGGAACCCAGCCGUGGAGAGUACACGAGUGAGAAUGCAGGCAUGAGUAGCGAAAGACGGGUGAGAAACCCGUCCGCCGAAUAUCCAAGGGUUCCAGGGUCAAGCUAAUCUGCCCUGGGUAAGUCGGGACCUAAGACGAGGCCGACAGGCGUAGCCGAUGGACAACGGGUUGAUAUUCCCGUACUGGCGAAAUAACGAUCCUACCGAGGCGAGUAAUGCUAAGCACGCGAGAGUGGGGGAGGCCUACGGGCUGAGUCCGCUUAAGUCUGCGACCCGAACUUGUAUUAGGUAAGCUGCGGAGGGACGCAGGAAGGUAGCCCAACCCAGGCGAUGGUUGUCCUGGGCUAAAUGUGUAGGGCGUGACGUAGGCAAAUCCGCGUCACGUAUGCCUGAGACAUGACGGCGAGGAGAGUUUCGACUCUUUUAAGUGGGUGAUCCUAUGCUGCCUAGAAAAUCUUCGUGAGCGAGUUAUUUAGCCACCCGUACCCCAAACCGACACAGGUGGAUAGGUAGAGAAUACCAAGGCGAUCGAGAGAAUCGUGGUGAAGGAACUCGGCAAAAUACCCCCGUAACUUCGGGAUAAGGGGGACCUGAUUUGUGAAAGAAUUUACUUCUGGAGCAUUGAGGGUCGCAGAGACCAGGCCCAAGCGACUGUUUACUAAAAACACAGGUCCGUGCCAAGUCGAAAGACGAUGUAUACGGACUGACUCCUGCCCGGUGCUGGAAGGUUAAGGGGAAGUGUUAGGGCAACCGAAGCACUGAACUUAAGCCCCAGUAAACGGCGGUGGUAACUAUAACCAUCCUAAGGUAGCGAAAUUCCUUGUCGGGUAAGUUCCGACCUGCACGAAUG